This 254-nucleotide ribosomal RNA is filed under the name uncultured bacterium. RNAcentral's name for it is "partial 16S ribosomal RNA". It matches the Rfam family "Bacterial small subunit ribosomal RNA", at positions 524 to 777 of the family's 1533-position model. The record is from RNAcentral.
UACGAAGGGGGCUAGCGUUGCUCGGAAUCACUGGGCGUAAAGCGCACGUAGGCGGAUCUUUAAGUCAGGGGUGAAAUCCCAAGGCUCAACCUUGGAACUGCCUUUGAUACUGGGGAUCUCGAGUCCGGAAGAGGUUGGUGGAACUGCGAGUGUAGAGGUGAAAUUCGUAGAUAUUCGCAAGAACACCAGUGGCGAAGGCGGCUCACUGGCCCAUAACUGACGCUGAGGCACGAAAGCGUGGGGAGCAAACAGGG